GUGGGGAAUAUUGGACAAUGGGCGCAAGCCUGAUCCAGCCAUGCCGCGUGAGUGAUGAAGGCCUUAGGGUUGUAAAGCUCUUUUGUCCGGGAAGAUAAUGACUGUACCGGAAGAAUAAGCCCCGGCUAACUUCGUGCCAGCAGCCGCGGUAAUACGAAGGGGGCUAGCGUUGUUCGGAAUCACUGGGCGUAAAGCGCACGUAGGCGGACCAUUAAGUCAGGGGUGAAAGCCUGGAGCUCAACUCCAGAACUGCCUUUGGUACUGAUGGUCUCGAGUAUGGAAGAGGUUGGUGGAACUGCGGGUGUAGAGGUGAAAUUCGUAGAUAUUCGCAAGAACACCGGUGGCGAAGGCGGCCAACUGGUCCAUUACUGACGCUGAGGUGCGAAAGCGUGGGGAGCAAACAGGAUUAGAUACCCGUGUAGUCC
This 425-nucleotide ribosomal RNA is filed under the name uncultured bacterium. Its description in RNAcentral is "partial 16S ribosomal RNA". It matches the Rfam family "Bacterial small subunit ribosomal RNA", at positions 354 to 796 of the family's 1533-position model. The record is from RNAcentral.